This 340-nucleotide long non-coding RNA is filed under the name Apteryx rowi (Okarito brown kiwi). RNAcentral describes it as "lncRNA (ENSARWG00000014560.1)". The record is from RNAcentral. Lineage: Eukaryota; Metazoa; Chordata; Aves; Apterygiformes; Apterygidae.
ACRGUUUCUGCUCCAUUUUGACUGAAAGAUUAAAUGGAAGUAUGCAACUGAGCACUGGCUUUAAGACUCUUCAAAACAAAAGAGCUGGAGCCUGGAUGCAAUGGGCCAGCUGAGCAUACACUACUGUUCCUGGGGAGCUCUUCAAGGAAAAAAUGCUGACAGAGCCAAUUCCUGCACUAUUUGCUUCUCCGAGGGAUCCUUAAGCUGGUCGUUCUCAUUAAACAGCAAAGGACAAUUUUGCCUGAAGGAAACUUCCUCAGCAAUGAGCUUCUGCUCUGUCUGCUCACAAACUGGAGAGCAGCRAUGGGAUCUCCUGAAGCCGACAGCACUGACCGAGUAG